UAGUUAAUAGUCUUUACGUCCUGUCGAUCUCCUAUUGUCAAGUACUAACUUAUUUUAGGUGAACCUGCGGAAGGAUCACUAUCGAGUUCUGACCGAAAGGCCGACUCCCACCCUUUGUGUACUCUGACCUGUUGCUUCGGCGGGCCGAUCGCUUAGCGACCAUUGGCUUUUAGCGGGUGUGUGCCCGCCGAAGGACCUUUUUGAAACACUGUUUUGAGGUUGUCUGAGUUUAUAAGAAAAGUAA
This 244-nucleotide unclassified non-coding RNA is filed under the name uncultured fungus. RNAcentral's name for it is "sequence contains ITS1". Lineage: Eukaryota; Fungi. The record is from RNAcentral.